RNAcentral lists this ribosomal RNA (253 nucleotides) under uncultured bacterium. RNAcentral's name for it is "partial 16S ribosomal RNA". It matches the Rfam family "Bacterial small subunit ribosomal RNA", at positions 524 to 776 of the family's 1533-position model. The record is from RNAcentral.
UACGUAUGGUGCAAGCGUUAUCCGGAUUUACUGGGCGUAAAGGGAGCGCAGGCGGCGCGCCAAGUCUGAUGUGAAACCCCGGGGCUCAACCCCGGGCAUGCAUUGGAAACUGGCGGGCUGGAGUGCCGGAGAGGUAAGCGGAAUUCCUAGUGUAGCGGUGAAAUGCGUAGAUAUUAGGAGGAACACCAGUGGCGAAGGCGGCUUACUGGACGGCAACUGACGCUGAGGCUCGGAAGCGUGGGGAGCAAACAGG